This 735-nucleotide ribosomal RNA is filed under the name uncultured bacterium. Its description in RNAcentral is "bacterial SSU rRNA". It matches the Rfam family "Bacterial small subunit ribosomal RNA", at positions 771 to 1501 of the family's 1533-position model. The record is from RNAcentral.
AACAGGAUUAGAUACCCUGGUAGUCCACGCCGUAAACGUUGGGCGCUAGGUGUGGGGGCCAUUCCACGGUCUCCGUGCCGCAGCUAACGCAUUAAGCGCCCCGCCUGGGGAGUACGGCCGCAAGGCUAAAACUCAAAGGAAUUUACGGGGGCCCGCACAAGCGGCGGAGCAUGUUGCUUAAUUCGAUGCAACGCGAAGAACCUUACCUAGGCUUGACAUGCACGGAAAUCUGUCGGAGAUGGCAGGUCCUUUUAGGGUCGUGCACAGGUGGUGCAUGGUUGUCGUCAGCUCGUGUCGUGAGAUGUUGGGUUAAGUCCCGCAACGAGCGCAACCCUCGUUCUAUGUUGCCAGCGGGUCAUGCCGGGGACUCAUAGGAGACUGCCGGGGUCAACUCGGAGGAAGGUGGGGAUGACGUCAAAUCAUCAUGCCCCUUAUGUCUAGGGCUGCAAACAUGCUACAAUGGCCGGUACAAAGGGCUGCGAUACCGUGAGGUGGAGCGAAUCCCAAAAAGCCGGUCUCAGUUCGGAUUGGGGUCUGCAACUCGACCCCAUGAAGUUGGAGUCGCUAGUAAUCGCAGAUCAGCAACGCUGCGGUGAAUACGUUCCCGGGCCUUGUACACACCGCCCGUCACGUCACGAAAGUCGGUAACGCCCGAAGCCGGUGGCCCAACCCCUUGUGGGAGGGAGCCGUCGAAGGCGGGAUCGGCGAUUGGGACGAAGUCGUAACAAGGUAACC